UUAACGAAAAGGCAAACUCAGGGAAACCUGAUGUGCGCAAAGCUACAGGGGCUUCAUUCCUAACGGAAUAUGCUCGCCAGCUACCGAA
This 88-nucleotide non-coding RNA is filed under the name Paenibacillus sp. Its description in RNAcentral is "c-di-GMP sequence". It matches the Rfam family "c-di-GMP-I riboswitch aptamer". Rfam says of the family: GEMM was predicted in a large-scale screen for bacterial structured RNA regulatory elements. Genes associated with GEMM are involved in a diverse array of functions, including chemotaxis regulation, signal transduction, secretion and chitin. RNAcentral also lists the same sequence under 2 other names. Lineage: Bacteria; Bacillati; Bacillota; Bacilli; Caryophanales; Paenibacillaceae. The record is from RNAcentral.